CUGAACUUUGCAUGGUGUAAAGAGGUAAAAAUCACCACAGAAGGCUGUUGAGUUCAGUGCCUAUGAUGAGAAUAUUAGCAUAGGAUUGAUUGGAAGGAGGGGAGAUCUCCUCUAGUAGCCUCCGACUCAUUGCAGAUUAGACUGUGACACCAAUUGGACACUGUGGCAUCCCUUGCAGUAAGAGGAAGGGGAAUAAAAAGAACAGCUGGAAAGG
This is a long non-coding RNA of Gopherus flavomarginatus (Mexican gopher tortoise), 214 nucleotides long. RefSeq lists it as uncharacterized. The transcript is spliced from 3 exons. The record is from RefSeq and is a predicted model, not a curated record. Lineage: Eukaryota; Metazoa; Chordata; Testudines; Testudinidae.